UACGGAGGGUGCGAGCGUUGUCCGGAAUCACUGGGCGUAAAGGGUGAGUAGGCGGUCUGUUAAGCGUGCGGUGAAAGCCUGGGGCUCAACCCCAGGUCUGCCGUGCGAACUGGUGGACUAGAGUACUGUAGAGGCAGGCGGAAUUCCGGGUGUAGCGGUGGAAUGCGUAGAGAUCCGGAAGAACACCGGUGGCGAAGGCGGCCUGCUGGGCAGUUACUGACGCUGAAUCACGACAGCGUGGGGAGCAAACAGG
Molecule: ribosomal RNA, 253 nt
Filed under: uncultured bacterium
Lineage: Bacteria
Description: partial 16S ribosomal RNA
Rfam family: Bacterial small subunit ribosomal RNA
Source: RNAcentral